UUGAAGAGUUUGAUCAUGGCUCAGAUUGAACGCUGGCGGCAGGCCUAACACAUGCAAGUCGAACGGUAACAGGAAGAAGCUUGCUUCUUUGCUGACGAGUGGCGGACGGGUGAGUAAUGUCUGGGAAACUGCCUGAUGGAGGGGGAUAACUACUGGAAACGGUAGCUAAUACCGCAUAACGUCGCAAGACCAAAGAGGGGGACCUUCGGGCCUCUUGCCAUCGGAUGUGCCCAGAUGGGAUUAGCUUGUUGGUGGGGUAACGGCUCACCAAGGCGACGAUCCCUAGCUGGUCUGAGAGGAUGACCAGCCACACUGGAACUGAGACACGGUCCAGACUCCUACGGGAGGCAGCAGUGGGGAAUAUUGCACAAUGGGCGCAAGCCUGAUGCAGCCAUGCCGCGUGUAUGAAGAAGGCCUUCGGGUUGUAAAGUACUUUCAGCGGGGAGGAAGGGAGUAAAGUUAAUACCUUUGCUCAUUGACGUUACCCGCAGAAGAAGCACCGGCUAACUCCGUGCCAGCAGCCGCGGUAAUACGGAGGGUGCAAGCGUUAAUCGGAAUUACUGGGCGUAAAGCGCACGCAGGCGGUUUGUUAAGUCAGAUGUGAAAUCCCCGGGCUCAACCUUGGGAACUGCAUCUGAUACUGGCAAGCUUGAGUCUCGUAGAGGGGGGUAGAAUUCCAGGUGUAGCGGUGAAAUGCGUAGAGAUCUGGAGGAAUACCGGUGGCGAAGGCGGCCCCCUGGACGAAGACUGACGCUCAGGUGCGAAAGCGUGGGGAGCAAACAGGAUUAGAUACCCUGGUAGUCCACGCCGUAAACGAUGUCGACUUGGAGGUUGUGCCCUUGAGGCGUGGCUUCCGGAGCUAACGCGUUAAGUCGACCGCCUGGGGAGUACGGCCGCAAGGUUAAAACUCAAAUGAAUUGACGGGGGCCCGCACAAGCGGUGGAGCAUGUGGUUUAAUUCGAUGCAACGCGAAGAACCUUACCUGGUCUUGACAUCCACAGAACUUUCCAGAGAUGGAUUGGUGCCUUCGGGAACUGUGAGACAGGUGCUGCAUGGCUGUCGUCAGCUCGUGUUGUGAAAUGUUGGGUUAAGUCCCGCAACGAGCGCAACCCUUAUCCUUUGUUGCCAGCGGUCCGGCCGGGAACUCAAAGGAGACUGCCAGUGAUAAACUGGAGGAAGGUGGGGAUGACGUCAAGUCAUCAUGGCCCUUACGACCAGGGCUACACACGUGCUACAAUGGCGCAUACAAAGAGAAGCGACCUCGCGAGAGCAAGCGGACCUCAUAAAGUGCGUCGUAGUCCGGAUUGGAGUCUGCAACUCGACUCCAUGAAGUCGGAAUCGCUAGUAAUCGUGGAUCAGAAUGCCACGGUGAAUACGUUCCCGGGCCUUGUACACACCGCCCGUCACACCAUGGGAGUGGGUUGCAAAAGAAGUAGGUAGCUUAACCUUCGGGAGGGCGCUUACCACUUUGUGAUUCAUGACUGGGGUGAAGUCGUAACAAGGUAACCGUAGGGGAACCUGCGGUUGGAUCACCUCCUU
Molecule: ribosomal RNA, 1539 nt
Filed under: Escherichia coli
Lineage: Bacteria; Pseudomonadati; Pseudomonadota; Gammaproteobacteria; Enterobacterales; Enterobacteriaceae
Description: bacterial SSU rRNA
Rfam family: Bacterial small subunit ribosomal RNA
Source: RNAcentral